CAUUAAAGAGUUCUAUAACUCCCAAACCCAUGUGAACAUACCUAACGUUGCCUCGGCAGGUCGCACCUACCUUGUAGCACCCUACCCUGUAGGGCCUACCCGGGAGGUGCGGGUAAGCCUGCCGGCGGCCCACCAAACUCUGUUUGAUAUUGAAUUCUGAACCUAUAACUAAAUAAGUUAAAACUUUCAACAACGGAUCUCUUGGUUCUGGCAUCGAUGAAGAACGCAGCGAAAUGCGAUAAGUAAUGUGAAUUGCAGAAUUCAGUGAAUCAUCGAAUCUUUGAACGCAUAUUGCGCCCAUUAGUAUUCUAGUGGGCAGGACCGUUCGAGCGUCAUUUCAACCCUUAAGCCUUCGUUGCUUAGUGUUGGGAGCCUACGGCAACGUAGCUCCUCAAAGUUAGUGGCGGAGUUGGUUCACACUCUAGACGUAGUAAUUUUUUAUCUCGCCUAUUAGUUGGACUAAUCCCCUGCCGUAAAACCCCCAAUUUAUCAAGGUUGACCUCGAAUCGGUUCAGACAAACUCGCUAAAUUGAAGCAUCUUAGUCAGCGAAGGAAAAGAAACCAACAGGGAUUGCCCUAGUAACGGCGAGUGAAGCGGCAACAGCUCAAAUUUGAAAUCUGGCCCUCGGGUCCGAGUUGUAAU
Molecule: ribosomal RNA, 643 nt
Filed under: fungal endophyte
Lineage: Eukaryota; Fungi
Description: eukaryotic LSU rRNA
Rfam family: 5.8S ribosomal RNA (bases 182-335)
Source: RNAcentral